RNAcentral lists this ribosomal RNA (533 nucleotides) under uncultured beta proteobacterium. Its description in RNAcentral is "bacterial SSU rRNA". It matches the Rfam family "Bacterial small subunit ribosomal RNA", at positions 325 to 837 of the family's 1533-position model. Lineage: Bacteria; Pseudomonadati; Pseudomonadota; Betaproteobacteria. The record is from RNAcentral.
CGCCCGUCCCGCCGCCCCCGCCCGCCUACGGGAGGCAGCAGUGGGGAAUUUUGGACAAUGGGCGCAAGCCUGAUCCAGCCAUGCCGCGUGCGGGAAGAAGGCCUUCGGGUUGUAAACUGCUUUUGUCAGGGAAGAAAUGGUCUGGGCUAAUACCCCGGAGUGAUGACGGUACCUGAAGAAUAAGCACCGGCUAACUACGUGCCAGCAGCCGCGGUAAUACGUAGGGUGCAAGCGUUAAUCGGAAUUACUGGGCGUAAAGCGUGCGCAGGCGGCUUUGCAAGACAGAUGUGAAAUCCCCGGGCUCAACCUGGGAACUGCAUUUGUGACUGCAAGGCUGGAGUGCGGCAGAGGGGGAUGGAAUUCCGCGUGUAGCAGUGAAAUGCGUAGAUAUGCGGAGGAACACCGAUGGCGAAGGCAAUCCCCUGGGCCUGCACUGACGCUCAUGCACGAAAGCGUGGGGAGCAAACAGGAUUAGAUACCCUGGUAGUCCACGCCCUAAACGAUGUCAACUGGUUGUCGGACGGCUUGUCGCC